CCUACGGGAGGCAGCAGUGGGGAAUAUUGGGCAAUGGGCGCAAGCCUGACCCAGCAACGCCGCGUGAAGGAAGAAGGCUUUCGGGAUGGAAACUUCUUUUAAGAGGGAAGAGCAGAAGACGGUACCUCUUGAAUAAGCCACGGCUAACUAAGAGGCAGCAGCCGCGGUAAUACGUAGGUGGCAAGCGUUGUCCGGAUUUACUGGGUGUAAAGGGCGUGUAGCCGGGCUGACAAGUGAGGUGGUAAAUUCCGGGGCCCAACCCCGGACCUGCAUUUGAAACUGUUGGUCUUGAGUAUCGGAGAGGAAGGCGGAAUUCGUAGUGUAGCGGUGAAAUGCGUAGAUAUUAGGAGGAACACCAGUGGCGAAGGCGGCCUGCUGGACGACAACUGACGGUGAGGCGCGAAAGCGUGGGGAGCAAACAGGAUUAGAUACCCUUGUAGUC
Molecule: ribosomal RNA, 442 nt
Filed under: uncultured bacterium
Lineage: Bacteria
Description: partial 16S ribosomal RNA
Rfam family: Bacterial small subunit ribosomal RNA
Source: RNAcentral